GAAAGUUUUGGUUAUGUAGAUGUUGUACUUGUGCCUUUCUAUAGCUGGUUUUAUGCUUAUGAGGUCUUUGGAAAUUUCAGCAUAGAGGCUGAGUGUCCUAAGCUUAUUCAAUGGGCUAAANNNNNNNNNNNNUCAGAGAAAGAGAGCGUGCUCAAGUCUCUUCCUGACCACAAAAAAGUCCAUGGAUUUGUUUUAGAGCUAAAGAAGAGGCUUGGGAUAGAGUAGAGAGUGCAUAGCUUAGAAAGGAGAUUGCUUGGUUUUGAGUUGUUUAUUGUCCUAUCUAGGCCUUGUGUUUUGGCUUUCAAUUACCAUGUGGUG
RNAcentral lists this unclassified non-coding RNA (318 nucleotides) under Hevea brasiliensis (rubber tree). The record is from RNAcentral. Lineage: Eukaryota; Viridiplantae; Streptophyta; Magnoliopsida; Malpighiales; Euphorbiaceae.